Non-coding RNA from Acanthosepion pharaonis, 99 nucleotides. The record is from the annotation of a GenBank genome assembly. NCBI's taxonomy places the organism in Eukaryota, Metazoa, Mollusca, Cephalopoda, Sepiida, Sepiidae.
GUUGAAACACCGGUUCCCGUACUAGUACCGAAGUUAAGCAAAGCCGAGCCUGAUCAGUACCGAGAUGGAUGACCGCUUGGAAAUAUUAGGUUCUGUAAG